AUAUAUAUAUAGAAAGAUGACUGUCAUUUCGCUCAAGGGAAAAUCCGUCUUUGAGCUGCAAAGAGAUAUUUUCCCAUCUUUCCUCAAUGUUUCCAGAAGACCCAAUUCCUUAUGUCUUUGUUCCUUUCUCCGACUUUCCUUUUACAAUCAAUCGUACAACUUCUUCUCUUUCUUCCUCAAGCUCUCAAACACUAUCCAAUCUUGGAUCCAAACAGCAACAAGAACACUUAACUUCUCAAGGGGAGCUCUCUUCCUUUUUGCUUUAAGUUUUAUCUAAUAAAAAUUUACAAGCAUAAGAAUGCGGACAAGCAAAAAGAGCCGAGUGGUGAUAUAACUAUUGUAUACAUUAAAGCAGAAGAUGAAAUCUUUCACGAGGUUCUUCCAAGUUUAAUACAAACCUGGUUGAGAAAGGAUGUGAAGCAAUCACUUCCUCGUGCACUCAAACAGGUUCCAGAGGGGUUCGAAGAGGAAGCCCAUGGCUUUGAUCAAGAAGCUGUGCAAGGCGGUAACACGAGCAAUUUUAUCGUUAUGAAUUAUUUUGUUUUGUGCUUAAUGCCAAUUAUUUCUAUAUUAAGGAAUAACUAGGUAGUUAUAUUCGAGACUAUGUACACCUCUGGUUAUGCAUAUGGUGCAUCUCUCUAUCUUUAAAUUUCUUUUUUCCUGCUCAAAUCUAUAAUUUUGUUAGUAAAAUAAGGUCAUUUUACUUCAGUAGUUACUGAAGAUCAACAAAUACAUAUCUGUACAACAAACAAACUUAGUCGGCAUAAAAUGAUAUCCAGCUAACCAAAUCUCUCAGCUUGCCCAAAUGGACCGCAUUCCAGUACCAAAUGAAACAUCCCUACCAAUCUCUCUAUCUGCUAUCAAGACUGAUAAAGUGAAAGCUAAAGUUAGAACAUUUAUUUUAUUAAUUGAGAUUAUGUAAUUAUAAUAGUUGCCAGGAAAGGUCUGUUAAUAUUAUUAGCAUAACUUUCAUUUGAUUUUCGCAGCUUCAAGAGUCAGAAUCGAAACAAGUUAGGUUAUACCAUGGUGUUAUCGAGUUUCAAUAGCCGCACGAGGGAAACUUGCAUGCUAUUCCUAUAUAAGAAGUCACAGUAGUGGCAAUAGAAGCAGACAAGAGACUGGGGACAUGCCACUCCUGCUUAUCUAAUGGGCAAUUUUGUCAUUUUUAGCUGCUUUGUGAUGCAACUGAUCCACCUGAAUCUCUUCCUUAUCCAUUUUCACUUGCAUCUCCUCGCUGUUCGGUUGUAAUUGAUCGACUUUCCGUCUACUUGCUAUCUCAACUGAAUUAAUAAAGGGUUAAUUACUGUUGCUGCUGGUUUAUAGUGAGUUCCUCUCGCCAUGUUUUGCUUCUGCCAAGGUAAUUGCAUCGCUAACUAUAUACCAUACACAUAUAUUCUUUUUACGACUUAUGAUUUGAAGAAUAAACAUAACAAUUCGUUCAAUAGAUGCCUUGUUUUAAAGGAGAAUAUAAAUUCUGCUACUGCAUAACCCCUACAAUAAAUUCAUAAAAACUCCUGCAGUAUUACAUAUUGCUUAAAGUCAAUUUAGGAAUUGGAUUUUAGUGCUUCUUGUUUUUAUUUCAUUAGUUUGUUCCGCUGAAUUAGCCUUUUUCUUGUGUGUAUCAUUUACAGUAGUUUGCGAGAAACAUUGUUUCUUUCGUUUGAGUGCUUAUUCAUAAUGCUCUUUCGUAUAUUUUUUUGGGAGACAAGUCACAAAGAGGAACAUAGAAAUACAAAAUUAUAAGGUUGUGUUGGUAUUGUUCUCCUAUUUAAACAAGAAUUUAGAGAUGGAAUCCUUGAAAUAUGUUGUUCGGCCUUUUGAAAAUAUCGUCAGAUACGUAUAGGUUCCUUCAAAAGUUGUGCAUUUUCUAAGGAUCCAACACACAUAUGGCCAUAUCUUUAGAUAGUUCUAACAACUUAGUCCCUCAAUAAUCAAAUGAAGAAGCAUUAUGUGGAAUGUACACCAAAAUUGGAAGUUGACAGUUUUAUAUUGAAACUUUGGGAUACCGGAGGAUCUACUUGGGCUAAGGUUUCAGAUAGAACAAGAAUUUUUUUGAUACUAGAAGCCAUAUUUUAUUUCCUUCUUCAAGAUUUUUCUAUUUCCUUUGUUUUAUUGAUAUAUCACUCGUUUCUGUCUAGUUGUUUAAAAAAGAACAACUUUUUAAGUUUGGAAAAUUAUUAACUUCAAACUUCCCAGUUUACCUUUAAUAACAUGCUCUUAAUAAAUCAAUAACGGAGACAAAAUUUGAAAUUUUUAGGUUCACGAUUCUUGCCUUUUUAAGUUACCAAGCUCUAAAUUAUUAAAGGAAUUUCUUAAGAUAUAUACAGUAUUUGGACCAAGGUUACUGGGUUCAACUGAAUCUGUACCUUGGUCUCUAGCUCCACCCAUUGCCCAGCCUCAUGAACAUUGCUGACAACCCAACAAAACAACAAGCUAUAAGCAGCUCGUUCUUAGGCACAUUGUCAAAGUAUUUCACCCGAAUCCUUCAUCUGUGCAUAGACCAUCGGAGUUGUUGAAAGGCAGACCUCACAACAUCGACCUUAUCCUGACAGAAGUUGACCUGCCAUCAAUCUCUGGAUAUUCUCUUCUUACCUUGAUUAUGGAGCAUGACAUAUGCAAGAACAUUCCUGUACUAAUGAUGUCCUCAAACGACUCAGUUAGUACAGUUUAUAGAUGCAUGCUGAAAGGCUCAGUUAGUACAGUUUAUAGAUGCAUGCUGAAAGGUGCAGCAGACUUUCUUGUCAAGCCUGUUAAAAAGAAUGAAUUAAAUAACUUGGGGCAGCACGUCUGGAGGACACGAUCUGCAAGUGAAGUUCCCAGGAGCCUCUUGAUGAAAGUGUUGCACAACCAAAGGUUGAGGCCACAGCUGAAAACAAUGCUUGCAGCAACCAUUCCAGUGGUUAUAAGGCUUGCGUUCAGAGAAACCGGGAAUGCAUUGAGAAACCAAGUGAUGCUCAGAGCUCAUGCACAAAGCCAGAGUUGGAGAAUGAAGAAGAUAAUGCAGAAGACUUACUGGAAUCUACUCAACCAAAUAGGAAUGCAUCUCUUCCAAAUGCUGCAGAGUUGGAGAUGGAACUACUUUACGAAGCAAGUAAUAGAUUGAGAAUGUCCGAGAAUGAUGCUAGAGCUCCCAUAAAAGAUGCAAAUGCAAUGGUUAGUUUUAUUGCUUGAGAUGUACUGGAUCACUCUCUUUUAUAUCUUCUUUUGGGGGAAAGAUAUAUUGAGCCGAGGGUCUAUUAGAAACAACUUCUCUACCCCACAAAGAUGAGGAUAAGGUCUGCAUACAUUUUAACCUCCCUAGAUCCCACUUGUGGGCAUGCCAUUGACUUGAUCGGAGCAUUUGACUGCAUCGGUCUUCUAUAUCUGUUCAUGCAAUUGAUCAUUCUUCAUCCAGUGAGAUGCUUCUAUUUCCUUAGAGCACGUACCAGCCUAGCAACAUGAGGUGCAAAAGGACACAAGGUUUCUUCGCUCGAUACGCAUCUUUCACUUGAUCUUUUACCUGUUGGCCGAAUGGGCCACAUUCUCAUAAAAAUAGCAUUACUGCUAGGCGGUUUCACUUUGUUAAUAUCUGUGUGUCAAUGGUGUCAAUAUUUCAUAACAAUCCAGCUACUUUGCCAAUAGUUUAUGUAAAUGUUUAUCCAACAUUUUUAAAACAAAGAGAUACAUACAUACAGUGGUACGAAUGAAACCUACAAUGUAAUUCUUACAAUUUUACAAAUGGAUAUUCAUUCUGAUAGCA
Capsicum annuum is the source of this 3739-nucleotide RNA transcript. RefSeq lists it as uncharacterized. The record is from RefSeq and is a predicted model, not a curated record. Lineage: Eukaryota; Viridiplantae; Streptophyta; Magnoliopsida; Solanales; Solanaceae. The transcript is spliced from 9 exons.